AUGCUGGCCGAGGCGCUCGCGGUCGCGGUCGACCGGCUGCCCGCCUCCUUCCCGCCGGCGGUGGCCGCCUUCCUGCGGCUGCUGCUCCGGGCGUGGGGCGCGCUCUCCGUGCCGCUGCUCCGGGGCGCCGUGAUGCUGUGCAUGGCCAUGUCGCUCAUGGUGCUCGCCGAGAAGGUCCUCCUCGGGACCGUCAGCGCCGCGGCCAAGCUGCUCCGCCGGCGCCGGCGGCCCGGGAGGCGCGACGUCCCCGUUCAGCCUGACGUCGAGGCUGGUGGAGGUGGUGGCUCCUCGGCCUGCUUCCCCAUGGUGCUCGUCCAGAUCCCCAUGUACAAUGAGAGAGAGGUGUACCAGCUCUCGAUCGGGGCGGCCUGCAGGCUCACGUGGCCGGCAGACCGAUUAAUUGUGCAGGUCCUCGACGACUCCACCGACGCCGCCAUCAAGGAGCUGGUGAGGGAGGAGUGCGAGCGGUGGGCCGGGAGCGGCGUGGACGUGAGGUACGAGGCCCGGGAGGACAGGGCCGGGCACAAGGCCGGCAACCUCACGGAGGGGAUGCGCCACGCCUACGCCCGCGGCUGCGAGUUCGUCGCCAUCUUCGACGCCGACUUCCAGCCCGCGCCGGACUUCCUCACCCGCACCGUGCCGCUCCUCCUCCGCCACCCCGGCCUCGCGCUCGUGCAGGCGCGCUGGGAGUUCGUGAACGCAGACGAGUGUCUGCUGACGAGGAUGCAGGAGAUGUCCAUGGACUACCACUUCAAGGUGGAGCAGCAAGCGGGGUCCUCACUCUGUAACUUCUUUGGAUAUAAUGGAAGCGCCGGAGUAUGGAGAAGGCAAGCCAUCGAGGAAUCGGGUGGGUGGGACGACCGGACCACCGCGGAGGACAUGGACCUGGCGCUCCGAGCGGCGCUCCUCGGCUGGGAAUUCGUCUACGUCGGCGACAUCAGGGUGAAGAGCGAGCUGCCGAGCUCUCUCGGGGCGUACCGGUCCCAGCAGCACCGGUGGUCGUGCGGGCCGGCGCUCCUCUUCAAGAAGAUGCUCCGGGAGAUCGUCGCCGCGGAGCGGGUGCCGGCGUGGAAGAAGCUCUACAUCGUGUACAACUUCUUCGUGACGCGGAGGGUGGUGUCCACCUUCUUCACCUUCUUCUUCUUCAGCGUGCUGCUGCCGGCCAAGACGCUGUUCCCGCAGGUGCGCAUCCCGGCGUGGCAGAUGGUGUGCGUCCCGACGGCCACGACGCUGCUCAACUCGGCAGGCACGCCGUGGCGCCGGUCGGCCCACCUGGUGGUGCCGUGGGUCGCGUUCGAGAACGCCAUGGCGCUGCACCGGUUCAAGGCCAUCCUCAUCGGGCUCUUCGAGGCCGGCCGGGCCAACGAGUGGAUCGUCACCCGCAAGUCCGGGAACGGUAGGCCGGCGCCGGGCGCGGAGGGCCGCCGUCUGAAACAGCGGUGCGGGCUCCAUUGGCUGGAGCUGCUGGUCGGCGCGCUGCUCCUGGCGUCCGGGUGCUACGACUGUGUGCACGGGCAUGGCUAUUUCUACCUGUUCGCGCUGCCCCAGUCGGUCAUGUACUUCGCCAUUGGGUUCGAGCUCUUGGGCGUCCAUCACGCUUCAUAG
This 1605-nucleotide ribosomal RNA is filed under the name Triticum aestivum (bread wheat). RNAcentral describes it as "partial small subunit ribosomal RNA". The record is from RNAcentral. Lineage: Eukaryota; Viridiplantae; Streptophyta; Magnoliopsida; Poales; Poaceae.